This 114-nucleotide ribosomal RNA is filed under the name Penicillium adametzii. RNAcentral's name for it is "partial 28S ribosomal RNA". It matches the Rfam family "Eukaryotic large subunit ribosomal RNA", at positions 1 to 113 of the family's 3401-position model. Lineage: Eukaryota; Fungi; Ascomycota; Eurotiomycetes; Eurotiales; Aspergillaceae. RNAcentral also lists the same sequence under 1 other name. The record is from RNAcentral.
UUGACCUCGGAUCAGGUAGGGAUACCCGCUGAACUUAAGCAUAUCAAUAAGCGGAGGAAAAGAAACCAACAGGGAUUGCCCCAGUAACGGCGAGUGAAGCGGCAAGAGCUCAAA